Molecule: ribosomal RNA, 466 nt
Filed under: uncultured organism
Description: bacterial SSU rRNA
Rfam family: Bacterial small subunit ribosomal RNA
Source: RNAcentral
AAUGAACGUUGGCGGCGUGGAUUAGGCAUGCAAGUCGAACGAGAUCUGUAGCAAUACAGUGAAAGUGGCGAAAGGGAGAGUAAUACGUAGGUACCUGCCCUCGGGUCUGGGAUAGCUGCGGGAAACUGCAAUUAAUACCGGAUGAUGUCUCUGGACCAAAGGUGUGAUUCCGCCAGGGGAUGGGCCUGCGUCCUAUCAGCUAGUUGGUGUGGUAAAGGCGCACCAAGGCUAAGACGGGUACGGGGUGUGAGAGCAUGCCCCCGCUCACUGGGACUGAGAUACUGCCCAGACACCUACGGGUGGCUGCAGUCGAGAAUCUUCCGCAAUGGGCGCAAGCCUGACGGAGCGACGCCGCGUGUGGGAUGAAGGCCUUCGGGUUGUAAACCACUGUCAGUGGGGAGCAAGUGCAUUAGGGUUCUCCCUAGUGUUUGAGCGAUCCGCAGAGGAAGCACAGGCUAAUUCCGUG